UGAGGAAUAUUGCGCAAUGGGCGAAAGCCUGACGCAGCGACGCCGCGUGUGGGAUGAAGGAGCUUUGCUUCGUAAACCACUGUCGGACGGGAAGAAAAAGUUCCUACGGGGGCUUGGGACAGUACCGUCAGAGGAAGCACCGGCUAACUACGUGCCAGCAGCCGCGGUAAUACGUAGGGUGCGAGCGUUGUCCGGAAUUACUGGGUGUAAAGGGUGCGUAGGCGGGCAUGUGCGUCGGAGGUUAAAUACAACGGCUUAACCGUUGAACUGCCUUCGAAACGGCAUGUCUUGAAUGUGGGAGAGGAUGAUGGAAUUCCUGGUGUAGCGGUGAAAUGCGUAGAUAUCAGGAGGAACACCGGUGGCGAAGGCGGUCAUCUGGCCCACUAUUGACGCUGAGGCACGAAAGCGUGGGGAGCAAACAG
RNAcentral lists this ribosomal RNA (422 nucleotides) under uncultured bacterium. Its description in RNAcentral is "bacterial SSU rRNA". It matches the Rfam family "Bacterial small subunit ribosomal RNA", at positions 355 to 775 of the family's 1533-position model. The record is from RNAcentral.